Long non-coding RNA from Arvicola amphibius (Eurasian water vole), 415 nucleotides. RefSeq lists it as uncharacterized. The record is from RefSeq and is a predicted model, not a curated record. NCBI's taxonomy places the organism in Eukaryota, Metazoa, Chordata, Mammalia, Rodentia, Cricetidae. The transcript has 3 exons.
CAGGCAACCUGUGCUCUCAGGCUUGCCCAGUCCCUACCCAGACAAGUGUGGAGCAGUCUGGGAUGUCACACGUCUGGGGUAGUAGCUGUGGUCUUCCUGGGUCCCAGACUGGUGGCUGCAGAUGCUGCAUCCUCAGGAGAUAAGACAGACUCUACAUGGAGAUGUGUUUUGCCUGCAUGAAAGUCAGCGCACCAUGUGCAUGUAAUGCCAAUGAACGCCAGGAGAGGACUUGAGCUACAGACAUUGUGAGCGGCUGUGUGGUGUUGGAAAUCAACCUCUGCUCCUUGGAAGAGCAGCCAAGUGCUAAGGCAAUGAACCAAGGAGGGCAGAGGACAAAACUCUUUCUUCCCUCCAGAUGUGAGCCCCAGUCUGGAAUGUCAGCCACACACAGAGCACAUGACAGGAAAACCUCAAG